GGAAGGAUUCAGGGCAAACAACAGCAAAACAUCAACAGCUGAGCUGACUAUCUCACAUUCCUUUCCUUUUCUGUGUAAUCUCCAACUAGGACUGGACAAUGACAGCAUGCGGGGGAAAAAACACUUCCCAUAUUCUGAAAAGUGCACAAGGCUGCAUAUGAAAAUACAAAACAGUACUCAUCGCAUUACAGUUGCAGUACUCUGUCCCAAACUUUGUGAUGGAUUACUAUGAAAAAAUCGGAAAAUUAAUGAAACACACACAACAAAGAGUCGGACGAAAGCUCUGGAGCGAGGGAUUGACAGAGAGAGAAAAGAAGAAGAGAAGCGUGGCGGCGAUUUGGCAGCUGCCCGGUGCCCAGCUGCAUUGGAAAAAUCCUGCCGCCUUUUCCUUUGCGGUGGUUCCCUCCCGGAGUGGUUUGUUUGGGGGACUGGUGUCCUGGGUGGGUGUCUAGCUACACUCCCCUGCGGCAGAGCUGGCUGCUGGGGCUGUGACUGUGGCUGUACCUCCUGGAGAGCUGAGGAAUGGAGGUCUGGCCACAGAACCAGAGACAGUGUCCAUAGAAGCCAAUGAGUGGAAGAGAGCAGCCUCACAUGAUCAUUAGCACCACUUCUGGACUAUGCUGUACUCUAGAGUCUGUGGACUGUGUAGAGACUGGGAGACGAGUGGAGGCAGGCUGCAACAAGGGACAAGGGCUGGUGCCUCCUCAUUACGAACCAGACCUGGACCCAGUCGGUAUCAGAUGUGGUGACCCCACUUGGUGACCCUGCCCGCCUGUGGGGAAAACAACCUGUGGUUACCAUGUUGGUUCACAGCAAAAACUUGACCUUUUUCAAAUGUAUUUUUCUUGCUGUCUGCUUGUUUUAGUCAAUUACAAAACUAUAUUUAAGAAAAGUACAACAUGUCUAAAGAUUACUUUUCAACAUUGCCUGCUCCCGAGCGUUCUCACUACUCAGAAAUACGUAAUAUUGUAUGUUGUAGGGGUUCCCUCAUGCCUCUUUUCAUGAUGGUGAUAGCAGCCAUGUGAGUGCUAGCUAGGUAGCGACCGGAGCAUUAAGCUAGCCAAGACCAACAACACAAACAAAAUGACUAUACUAAACAAGUUAAAUGUCUUGCCUGUGAUUAAAUGUUUUCCACACACAUAGCUACGUAUAGUCUACUACACCGCGUCCCCACAUUUCCCACUCUCCCACUCUGAAUACCCUGAAGCCUGAAGUGUGUGUAUGUGCUGUGUGCAAGUGUUAAACUUUAAGAACAUUGACAAGAGGCAGUAGGCCUACUUAAACAUUGGGAGCAUUAAUAGCUGUAUGUUACAGUGACUUUUGUGUUGUUUAUAGUGCCAUUAAAACAAUUCUGAUGCAGAUUAUUUUGUGUUUCUUUCCCAUACAAUCAAAACAUAGUAUGCCUGUAACUCAAUGUAUUGGAAAAUUGUUUAUUUAUGGCCAAAUCUGAGCUAAUUCUAAAAUUGCGAUUAAUCGCAAUUAAGGGAUGCCAUUAAGUCGAUUCAUUAUUUUAAUUAUUUGACAGCCCCAGUUUAUGUUGUACCCUGGUGGGUUAGGGGAAGGGUUAACUGCAUUUAAACCCAUUGACAGGGCAUUUACAACACUUAAUCUUAAACUUUAAGAUAUGAAGAUAGACUAGAAAAAACAAUGCCAAAAUAUCAAGUCAACCGUGUUGAUAUUGUUGAAAAUGUUGUUUUAAUAUAAUUUUGUGAUUGGAUAGGCCUACCCAUUUAGAUGAGAUUGCUACACUGAGUGUACAAAAUAUUAGGAAUAACUGCUCUUUCCAUGACAUAGACUGACUAAGUAAAUCCAGGUAGAAGCUAUGAUCCAUUAUUGAUGUCACUUGUUAAAUCCACUUCAAUCAGUGUAGAUGAAGGGGAGAAGACAGGUUAAAGAAAGAUUUGUAAGCUUUGAGACAAUUGAGACAUGGAUUGUGUAUGUGUGCCAUUCGAAGGGUGAAUGGGCAAGACAAAAUAUGUGCCUUUGAACGGGGUACGGUAGUAGGUGCCAGGCACAUCGGUUUGAGUAUGUUAAAAAACUGCAAUGCUGCUGGGUUUUUCACGUUCAACAGUUUCCUAUGUGUAUCAAAAGUGGUGCACCACUCAAAGGACAUCCAGCCAACUUGACACAACUGUGGGAAGCAUUGGAGUCAACAUGGGCCAGCAUCCCUGUGGAACACUUUUGACACCUUGUAGAGUCCAUGCCCUGAUGAGUUGAGGCUGUUCUGAGGGCAAAAUUAGGUGCAACUCAAGAGUAGGAAGGUGUUCCUAAUGUUUUGUACACUCAGUGUUUACCAUAUCAGGCUUGGUUUCUCAGGUUCUAUGUGGGGGAGUUUUUCAAAUAUAUAUCUUACAGGAAACCACCGAUUAAUAAUGAUAUAAUUGUCUUUCUCUUUUACAUGUAUACUUUUCAGAAUAUCUCACAUUGAUCAUGUACUGCAUGUAAACAAAACAAUUUACAAUUGCAUUUGCAACGUUCCUAUUUUCCAACAUUAAAGAUUAUGAAACAUG
Molecule: long non-coding RNA, 2510 nt
Organism: Oncorhynchus masou masou (cherry salmon)
Lineage: Eukaryota; Metazoa; Chordata; Actinopteri; Salmoniformes; Salmonidae
Exons: 6
Source: RefSeq, a predicted model, not a curated record